CAUUAGAUGGCUGAAAUUUUAAGUAUUGGUCUCUUAAACCAAAUUAUAGUAUUAUAUACUUCUAAUGA
Molecule: transfer RNA, 68 nt
Filed under: Lachesilla pedicularia
Lineage: Eukaryota; Metazoa; Arthropoda; Insecta; Psocodea; Lachesillidae
Description: tRNA-Lys
Source: RNAcentral